Molecule: ribosomal RNA, 507 nt
Filed under: uncultured bacterium
Lineage: Bacteria
Description: partial 16S ribosomal RNA
Rfam family: Bacterial small subunit ribosomal RNA
Source: RNAcentral
GACGAACGCUGGCGGCGUGCCUAAUACAUGCAAGUCGAACGCAUUUUCUUUCACCGUAGCUUGCUACACCGAAAGAAAAUGAGUGGCGAACGGGUGAGUAACACGUGGGUAACCUGCCCAUCAGCGGGGGAUAACACUUGGAAACAGUUUCUAAUACCGCAUAAUUCGAUUUACCGCAUGGCAAAUGGAUGUAAGGCGCUUUGGCGUCCCUGAUGGAUGGACCGGGGGUGAAUUAGCUAGUUGGGGGGGUGACCGCCUACCAAGGCUGCGAUGCAUCGCCGACCUGGGAGGGGGGUCGGCCACCCUGGGACUGAGACACGCCCCAGACUCCUACGGGAGGCCGCAGUAGGGGAUCUUCGGCAAGGGACGCAAGUCUGACCGAGCAACGCCGCGGGAUAGAAGAAGGUUUUCGGAUCGUAAAAAUCGGUUGUUAGAGAAGAACAAGGAUGAGAGUGGAAAGUUCAUCCCUUGACGGUAUCUAACCAGAAAGCCCCGGCUGACUACGUG